UGCAGUCGNNCGGCAGCACGGAGCUUGCUCUGGUGGCGAGUGGCGAACGGGUGAGUAAUGCGUCGGAACGUAUCCAAUAAUGGGGGAUAACGCAGCGAAAGCUGUGCUAAUACCGCAUACGCCCUCCGGGGGAAAGCAGGGGAUCUUCGGACCUUGCGUUAAUGGAGCGGCCGACGUCUGAUUAGCUAGUUGGUAGGGUAAAGGCCUACCAAGGCGACGAUCAGUAGCUGGUCUGAGAGGAUGAUCAGCCACACUGGGACUGAGACACGGCCCAGACUCCUACGGGAGGCAGCAGUGGGGAAUUUUGGACAAUGGGCGCAAGCCUGAUCCAGCCAUUCCGCGUGAGUGAAGAAGGCCUUCGGGCUGUAAAGCUCUUUCAGGAGGGAAGAAACGAUUGUGGCUAAUACCCAUGAUUAAUGACGGUACCUUCAGAAGAAGCACCGGCUAACUACGUGCCAGCAGCCGCGGUAAUACGUAGGGUGCGAGCGUUAAUCGGAAUUACUGGGCGUAAAGCGUGCGCAGGCGGUUUUUCAAGUCUGAUGUGAAAUCCCCGGGCUUAACCUGGGAACUGCGUUGGAAACUGAAAGACUAGAGUGCGGCAGAGGGGGGUAGAAUUCCACGUGUAGCAGUGAAAUGCGUAGAUAUGUGGAGGAAUACCGAUGGCGAAGGCAGCCCCCUGGGUCGACACUGACGCUCAUGCACGAAAGCGUGGGUAGCAAACAGGAUUAGAUACCCUGGUAGUCCACGCCCUAAACGAUGUCAACUAGUUGUUGGGGAGGGAGACCUCCUUAGUAACGCAGCUAACGCGUGAAGUUGACCGCCUGGGGAGUACGGUCGCAAGAUUAAAACUCAAAGGAAUUGACGGGGGCCCGCACAAGCGGUGGAUUAUGUGGAUUAAUUCGAUGCAACGCGAAAAACCUUANCUACCCNU
Molecule: ribosomal RNA, 931 nt
Filed under: uncultured bacterium
Lineage: Bacteria
Description: bacterial SSU rRNA
Rfam family: Bacterial small subunit ribosomal RNA
Source: RNAcentral